UAGGGAAUCUUCCACAAUGGACGCAAGUCUGAUGGAGCAACGCCGCGUGAGUGAAGAAGGUCUUCGGAUCGUAAAGCUCUGUUGUUGGUGAAGAAGGAUAGAGGCAGUAACUGGUCUUUAUUUGACGGUAAUCAACCAGAAAGUCACGGCUAACUACGUGCCAGCAGCCGCGGUAAUACGUAGGUGGCAAGCGUUGUCCGGAUUUAUUGGGCGUAAAGCGAGCGCAGGCGGAAUGAUAAGUCUGAUGUGAAAGCCCACGGCUCAACCGUGGAACUGCAUCGGAAACUGUCAUUCUUGAGUGCAGAAGAGGAGAGUGGAACUCCAUGUGUAGCGGUGGAAUGCGUAGAUAUAUGGAAGAACACCAGUGGCGAAGGCGGCUCUCUGGUCUGCAACUGACGCUGAGGCUCGAAAGCAUGGGUAGCGAACAGGAUUAGAUACCCUGGUAGUCCAUGCCGUAAACGAUGAGCGCUAGGUGUUGGGGGACUUUCCGGUUCUCAGUGCCGCAGC
This 507-nucleotide ribosomal RNA is filed under the name uncultured bacterium. RNAcentral describes it as "partial 16S ribosomal RNA". It matches the Rfam family "Bacterial small subunit ribosomal RNA", at positions 355 to 852 of the family's 1533-position model. The record is from RNAcentral.